CCUACGGGAGGCAGCAGUGAGGAAUAUUGGUCAAUGGACGCGAGUCUGAACCAGCCAAGUAGCGUGAAGGAUGACUGCCCUAUGGGUUGUAAACUUCUUUUAUACAGGAAUAAAACGAGGCACGUGUGCCUUUUUGCAUGUACCUUAUGAAUAAGGAUCGGCUAACUCCGUGCCAGCAGCCGCGGUAAUACGGAGGAUCCGAGCGUUAUCCGGAUUUAUUGGGUUUAAAGGGUGCGCAGGCGGAGGCGAAAGUCAGCGGUAAAAUGGCGGGGCUCAACCCCGCGCCGCCGUUGAAACUGGGUCCCUUGAGUGGGCGAGGGGUAGGCGGAAGGCGUGGUGUAGCGGUGAAAUGCAUAGAUAUCACGCAGAACUCCGAUUGCGAAGGCAGCCUACCGGCGUGCAACUGACGCUGAGGCACGAAAGCGUGGGUAUCGAACAGGAUUAGAUACCCUUGUAGUC
This 459-nucleotide ribosomal RNA is filed under the name uncultured bacterium. Its description in RNAcentral is "partial 16S ribosomal RNA". It matches the Rfam family "Bacterial small subunit ribosomal RNA", at positions 338 to 795 of the family's 1533-position model. The record is from RNAcentral.